RNAcentral lists this ribosomal RNA (254 nucleotides) under uncultured bacterium. RNAcentral describes it as "partial 16S ribosomal RNA". It matches the Rfam family "Bacterial small subunit ribosomal RNA", at positions 524 to 776 of the family's 1533-position model. The record is from RNAcentral.
UACGUAGGGUCCGAGCGUUUGUCCGGAAUUACUGGGCGUAAAGAGCUCGUAGGUGGUUUGUCGCGUUGUUCGUGAAAACUCACAGCUCAACUGUGGGCGUGCGGGCGAUACGGGCAGACUAGAGUACUGCAGGGGAGACUGGAAUUCCUGGUGUAGCGGUGGAAUGCGCAGAUAUCAGGAGGAACACCGAUGGCGAAGGCAGGUCACUGGGCCGCAACUGACGCUGAGGAGCGAAAGCAUGGGGAGCGAACAGG